GUUGUCAUAGUAGCAUUACCAGCCACAGUUGAAAUACAAAUGCAAUGAUAUUGUCGCGUAUGCUUUUUGCGAUAGAGAUUCUAUUUGGUUACAUCUAAAUUACAGAUACCUAUAUACUUUUGAUGUUUUCUGCAACAUUCAUUACCUGUCGUAACAACAAGGAUUUACUCUAAAUCCUACAAUGCCACUUGAUGUGAAAAAUGAAGGAGGAUUAAAGGUACACAACAAAACAAAACUUGAAACUAUUUUGCAUGGAAAUACACAGACACUGUUAACACAGCCUUCAAAAAGUGCAGCGAAAGAAUCCCAAAAUGCAAAACUCAGAGAUACUGAACAAACUGGUUAUGCACCAAAAUUUGCUAAUUCUAAGGUAGAUAAUCAGUAUCUAUCCUCAGAGCUUUCAAAAUCUACAUUUAAUGCAGCUGAUAAUGAGGAUGACGUUUUUGAAAGGAAAGUUCAAACAAUUGAACCUUCUCCAGAGGCUUCUGCUGUUAGCCAAAGCACACAAAGUUCUCAGCUAUUGAUGCAGAGGAUUUCAACUUCAUCAAAUGCAGUUGUUGAGUCUGAAACUAUGGCUCCCUAUACACUCCUUAAAGAGAAUACAGGCUAUACAACUAGAAAAAAGAAGAUUCAUCAGCAGGUUGAACAGUGGUAUUCUAUGUAUAUUUUCUUAAAAUGCACUUCAGUACUGGGGCAUACCAAGAUACCAGAACACCUAGAUCUCUACCAGGAAAUGCUCGACACUAUACAAAUGUUAGUAAAAAAAGGAAAAAAUUUAAAAGUUGAUGGAAAUACAGACAUGAAUGUUUCAGACUUCAGAGAAUUUAAAGAAAAAUAUGAUAAUCUUUUAGAUAAGGAAUAUGAGAUGAAACAGGAAAUACAUUCAAUACUUAAUUUCAAUGAAAUGAAAAAGAAAAAGCACCAUGAAAAUAUUUACAGACAAUGGACAAAAAAAGUAUAUAAUCCUCUGUCUAAAAAAGUACAAGAAAAUGUUCAAAGCUCUCCCUGGUCAUCUACAUGUCGCAAGAAACAUGAGAUGUACAAAAAUUAUUUAAAAUAUGUUAACACUAAGGGCUGUGCUUAUCUUGAUACUGCUGACCCAGAGGAAUAUUCAAUAUAUCCCUACCCUAACAAAGUUCCUGGAAAGGUUAAUGUGACUGAUCCAGAUAAUCCUCUACACUUCACUUCACAGCAAUAUGAUGAAGAAUUGCAAGUGAUUCUGUCUCUCUUAACAGGUAAAAAUUACAGUAGGAAUGAUAUUGAGAAUCUCAAGCUGUUCUCUCGUCCUGAUAGCUCAUCAAGUCGACAGAAGAUGGAUGCUACAAAAUGGUUGCUAAUGCCUGAAAACAACAUUUUAAGUACACCACGGACAGCUAGUAGGAAAGGAGUGAUCAACUAUAAAAACUGAAAGAAAAAUAUUUUAUAAGAAUUUCAAAUCUAAAGCUAAACUGGAAAUAGUCAGCACCACUACUAAAAACAACAGCUUCUCUACAGAUUACCUUAUAACAUGUGUGUUUGAAACAGCAUAAAGCCCUUAUACGACAUGAAAACUUCCUUCCAUAAGACGGAAGAUACAUGCAGGCCGGUACAAUAAGAGCAUGCUGAGUGAGUCCUGUUGACUAAAUACAAAAACAUAGAAAACCAGAGACUUUUUUCUUUACAGAACAAUAGACUGGAAGAGAUCUGAAUUCUAUUUUUAUCUGAAUGAACAGUAUCAUAGGACACAAUCUACUCCAGUCCAAUGCUUGUUAAGCAAAUAUAGAUAUUGAUCAACACUCAUUGACUUGGAUAUUUUCACAAUCUAAAGGAAUUUUCUAGUUCACAUCUUUUAAGAUGAUACUUUUAUGAGUUUUCAGAAUGAUUUCUAACAUAGGUGCAAGACCAUACAUAUUGUCUUUCUUUUUCUUUUUUCUUUCCUCUCUCUCUCUCUCUUUUGCUGUGGGAGAGGAUUUUUUCAACAUCGAUACUUAAUCAGUACUUAAUUUAUCUACUCCAGAAAAGUUAAUGACGAUAGGUUAAGUUGACCUUGGACAGAUUUCAACAAGUUUCUAAGAGAUAUUAGGGUGUUGCCUGAUCACCCUAGUGAUAAUAAUUAUAAGAGUUUCUGAUUUCUGAAAGCCAGAAAUUUUUGAGGGGAACAAGUUAGUAAAUACCAGCAACCUCAGUAUUUGACUGGUACUUUAUUUUAUAGACCCCCUAAAGGUUUAAAAACAAUAUCAACCAUAGCAAGAUUAGAACUCAAGUCAUAAAAAUCCAGAACACUCAAGAUAACGAAUUUUAGUGAGGAAGACAUGGUUGAUUAUAUCAACCCCAAUAGUUGACUAAUACUUAAUUUUAUCAACCUCUACAUGCUGAGUUGAUCUGAAAUUUCACCUCAAAUGGUAACCCUUUUGUUGCCAUAUUUUUGUUGAAAUGCACAAAGUCCAUUUCAAUUAAUUUUGAUAUUAAUACAGAAAUUAGUAAAAAAAAUCUUUGCCAUUAUUAAACUGAUGUUUGAUACAUAAAUUAACAUGAAAUUUUGGUGGAGAGUUUUAAUUUUUGAUACCAACCUGUCUAGACUACUCCUGAGUCUAUGAUCUCUUUUAAAGAGAUCUUAAUUAAAAUCUUCCAUCAAAAUUUGAUGCUAAUUAUGUUCCAAACAUCAGCUGGAUAAUGAUAAAGCUAUUUUACUAAAUUUGUCAUUAGUUUCAAAAUUAAUUAAAACUAAAGUAGUGUAAAUAUAGUAGCAAAAGGAUUAAGAUGGAAAUUUGUAUCAUAAAAACAAGAGUGGUGUCAGGUGGGUUGGUAUCAAAAGAGUUAAUGGAGGUAACUAAAUAUAGCCAGGCAGUUCAUUCACUGCUUUAUAAAUUCUGUUAUCUUUCUACUGCCUGAUGUCCAACAUAGACUCAAAGUCACAAUUUAGGGAUACCAAUGACUAGACUAAUGUUUAUUUAAUUGACCUCUAAAGGAGGAAAAAGCAUAAUUCGCCAUGCUGGGAUUUAAAUGAUUUCUCACAUCAGCGUAACACCACAAAUUUGUUGGUGAGGGGUGCAGUCAAUUUAAUCAUCUCCCAAAGGAUGAAAGACAAUGUUGAUUUUGGCAGGAUUUGAACUCAGAAUAUUAGAAACUAGAACAAAUACCACAAGUAUUUGUUCUGGCUUCUGAUAUUCUGAGAUCAACUUUGCCUUCAUCUUUCUGGAGUUGAUAAAAAAAUAAGGUACCAACCAAAUAAUGGGGUUAAUUUAACUGACUAAAUGACUGACCUUUCUCUCCAAAUUUCAUGCCUUGUGUCUAUGUUAGAAGCAAUUAUUAUGAUUGUGUACAAAUCCCACCAAGAUCAACUUCGCCUUUCAUCCUUUUGGCAUCAGUACAAUAAAGUACCAGUCUAGUACUGGGAUUAAAUCAAUUUAUCCUCUCCCACAAAUUUCUAGCUUUUCUUAGAAAGGAUUAUUAUUAUUGUUUAUGUUGACCAAGUUCAUAUGAUUUUUUUUUACUUUUCACAAGGCCACAAUUUGUAUAAGGGAUCAGAAUAAGUAAUUUGUCAUGUUCAUGUUUUCUUCAAGAAAGAUGAAAAAUACUAGUCAAGUAAAUUUCUAUUAUUAUAAUUAUAUGUUUGGCUUUCGCUUUGUAUUUGCACAAGUUGACGCCAAGUCUCACCCGGAAACCUCAAGAGACAAGUUAGAAGUUCAAUUUGGUGUUAUAACUAGGAUACCUUUUGUUGGAGCUCCUGGAAUCUUGCAUGCAUAGCGGGCUUGCUACCUGCAGCCUACAGUACCAUGCUAUCCAUUCUUUUCAUUAUUAUUAUUAUUAUAAAGGCAGCAAGCUGGCAGAAUCAUUAGCAUGCUGAGCAAAAUGCUUAGCAGUGUUUUGGCCGUCUUUAUGUUCUGAGUUCAAAUUCCACCAAGGAUGAUUUUCGGGGUCAAUAAAUCAAGUACCAGUUGAGUACUGAAGUCAAUGUGAUUGACUGUCCCCCUCUGCACAAAAUCCAGACCUUGUGCCUAUAGUAGAAAGGAUUAUUAUUAUUAUUAUUAAUUCUCUUUAUCACAGGUUUUGUUGGAGCUCCUGGAGUCUUGCAUACAUAGUGGGCUUGCUACCUGCAACCUACGGUACCAUGCUAUCUGUUCUUUUCAUUAUUAUUAUGAAGGUGGUGAGCUGGCAGAACCAUUAGCAUGCUGGGCAAAAUGCUUGGCGGUAUUUUGCCCAUCGCUACAUUCUGAGUUCAAAUUCCACCAAGGUUGACUUUGCCUUCCAUCCUUUUGGGUUCAAUAAAUUAAGUACCAGUUGUGUACUAGGGUUGAUCUAAUUGACUGGGCCCCUCCCACCAAAUUUCAAGCUUUGUGCCUAUAGUAGAAAUUAUUAUUAUUAUUAUUGAGUGAGAGAGCAGUGCAUGCCAUCAAAAUGACACUGGGGUAAAAUAUACAAAGCCCAUUAUACCCAUCAUGACUACCUGUCUGAUAAGGGUACAUCAGGCACAUGCAUCACAACUAUAUGUGUGCGACAUGGUAAUCUCAUAUCAAGAUAAACAGCACAUGACCUCGCAAGUGGAGCCCAGUUAGAAUUUUCUUCAGGUCAAGUAGCCCAUCCCGCUCAAAAGGUCCCUAUUAUUAUUAUUAUUAUUAUUAUUAUUAUUAUUAUUAUUAUUAUUAUUAUCAUUAUUUAAAAAAACUGAGUACACUCAUAUGUUGUCUUUGACAGGAGAGUCCAUCAUCAUUAUCAUUAUCAAGGCUGCAAGCAGGCAAAAUUGUUAGCAUACCAGACAAGAUGCUUAACAGCAUUUCAUCCAUCAUUAUGUCCUAAGUUCAAAUUUCACCCAGCUCGACUUUGCCUUUCACACUUUUGGGAGGUCAAUAAAAUAAGUACUAGUUGAGUACAGGGGCCGAAGUCAUUGACUUCCCCCUCUCCCAAAAUUUAAGGCCUUGUUCCUGUAAUAGAAAGGGUUAUUAUUAUUAUUAUUAUUAUUAUUAGUAGUAGUAGUAGUAGUAGUAGUAGUAGUAGUAGUUGUUGUAGUAGUAGUAGUAUUAGUAGUAGUAGUAGUAGUAGUAGUAGUAGUAGUAGUAUAAGAGUAAUGAAGUAAAAGGAGUGGUAGAACCCCAGUCUGGUAAGUUGUUUUUAAUUUUGAUAUUGAUAUUCUUUUUUCAUCCCUGUGGUAGAUGGAUAUCAAUAGAAUAAGUAAUAGCUAUAUCUCUUCCUUCAAAAUUUGUGGCCUUGUGUUCAGUAUAAAAAUUUAUAAUUGAUAUUAUUAUUAUUAUUAUUAUUAUUAUUUUUAUUAUUAUUAUUAUUAUUAUUAUUAUUAUUAUUAAAUCUGUUAUGUAAUUGUAAUAAUAAAAGAUUUUGUUACUGGUUCUCUGUAAAGCAUUUUGUCUUAUUAAAAAAAAAGAAAACUUAA
Molecule: RNA transcript, 5365 nt
Organism: Octopus bimaculoides (California two-spot octopus)
Lineage: Eukaryota; Metazoa; Mollusca; Cephalopoda; Octopoda; Octopodidae
Source: RefSeq, a predicted model, not a curated record